UGGACAGUCCAUGUCGUCAUCAUGCUGCCCGGCCGGCGGUGGCUUGGCGACGACGACCCUGUCGAUUGCUGCCAUGAACGUGCCUGCGAACUCCGGGUGUUUCUCGUGGCUCAUGUACCUCGUCAGAUCUUGAGAGUUCAGAAGCUCGCGAAGGUCAGGGAGAAGACAUCAGUGAAGCCCUGCGUCUCAGCAAUUCAGCAUCUCCUCCCUUCCCCUGAAAAGAAAAAUGACACUUUUUUAGAUGCUGGAAAUGGUAUAAAAGAACAAGUUUUAGCUGCAGGUUAGUUCAGGUAGUUAAUCGGACUAGUAAUAUUAUCUUAGGCAUGUUGUAUCUGACUGGUCUACAAGUUCAUCCAGUUACUGACGCUAGUAAUUUGGAGCAGAAAAGCAAGUCUGAAUAUACCAGCACCGAUGUGCAUAUACCACUCAAAGCAUUUCACAAUGCCCAUCUCUGAAACAAGCUUAUGCAGGAUGUCAUCUCAUCUCCUCCGCCACACCAGGGUGGCUUCCAUGAACUUCACCAGGAAAAAGGUGCUUGAUUUCCACCAUGGUCGGAAAGCGCAAAGCUCUCUCACCUCCGCAAGAGUGCGAUGAUCACCACGUUACCCCCCCCCACCAUUUUAUUGUCGGUGUGAGUGAGAGCCGCUGCUCCGGUGAGGUCCAC
This 664-nucleotide long non-coding RNA is filed under the name Oryza brachyantha (malo sina). RNAcentral describes it as "long non-coding RNA (OBRA_LNC003048)". The record is from RNAcentral. Lineage: Eukaryota; Viridiplantae; Streptophyta; Magnoliopsida; Poales; Poaceae.